AACCCUCUAGUGAUCUUGGGGGGUGGGUUAUUUCAUUUUCUAAAUUGCAUGGCAACAUCAAAUGACCAAACCAAUACUAUAUCAUCACAUUCUCAUACUCUUCUUCUUUUAAUCAUAUUCUUAUCUUUGAUUCUCUUCAUCAACCUUGCAAUCCCCAUGACUCAUCAUCGGUCCACAUCUAUGGUUGCUCCCUUCAAGAGGGUUCUUCUCGAACCUUCUGUUCCAGCUUCAUCAACAAUGGAUCUGCAUCCAAAGGGUCGCACACGUUGCAGCCAUACUUCUAGAAGGAGAGAGUUUGCAAAUGAUGCUCAUGAAGUUCCUAGUGGUCCAAACCCUAUUUCCAACUAGGUGAGUUGGAGUAUCUGGUUUUACCCGUGAGUUUGAAGGAUAAGUGAUUAUAGAUCUAUAUAAUAACAUAUGGGUGAAGCUUCUCAUCGAUGGAGACUGGAGAAAAACUUAAUUGUCAUGAAUUUAGAAUAUAUCUUUGGAUCACUUUGGUACCGUUCAUUUCCUUCUUAAAUCUUUUGUCCAUAUAUUGCUCUGGUACCAUGUUUUAAGUUUUGAUUAGAGUUGUUAAGAAGAGAUACUAUUAUUCGUUAAUCGUUUACAUGUGUAUGUAGCCCACCUAUGUUUUUCCUUCACAAACUAGUAGGAGCAUAUAGAUCCUUGAUCAUUAAAUCUCUUUCUUUUUUUCUUCUCUUUCCACCAUACAAAACGGUCUCUUUUCUAAAUAUCAUUCUGAAAAUAAUAUGAAAACUAGGUUAACCCCGCGCCUUGCGCGAGAUGAAUAUUAUAUAUAAAUUACUUUGAUGUAUUAUAUGAUUUUUUACAUAUUAUGAAAUAAUAAAUGUAUAUUGAAUAAUUGAAAAUUUAGUAAAUAUUACGUAUAUAAUAAAAUGCAAAUACAUAAAUAAAUUUUAUUAAUCCAGACAAACAUUUUUUUCUAUUUUAUAUGGUACACAUACUACAAGAAAACAUAUUUUUUACGAGAACAAUAUUCCUUGUUAAUUCGUCGUAAAAUGGGUGUUACGACGAAUAAACAUCGAAAACCGUUUCGUUGUUAAACGUCCGUCGUAAUGGAGGUUUCGUCGUAAAGACGUGGUAACGUUUACGAGGAAAUUUUUCCUCGUAAAAUGGAUGGAAACAUUUCGUCGUAAACGAGACGUAAUACUUCGUUGUAAAGUACUCAUAUUAUUUCGAUGUAAACUCCAUGUAAUCUUUACGAGGAUUUUACAAUGAUGCCCAUGUAAGCUCCACGUAAACCUUACGACAAUGUUACGAGGAUUUCGUUGUAAAAUCCAUGUAAAGUUUACAACGAAUUUACAUAGUUUCUUACCAUUUAAUAUUAAAUUAAAACAAAAAUAUUAUUUAAUAUUCGAAAUUUUAAAAAUUUUAAAUAUAAAAUGAAAUAUGAAAAUCAAAACAUAUAUUUAAAAAAUAUUUAAAAGUCAUAACAUAAUAUUUAAAUUCAUAAUACAAAAGGAAAAAAUAAAAAAGCUACUACAUAUUAUCGAAGUAGUCGGUGGCGGUCACUCGGUUGAGAACGGUCUGGAUCGGCAUCUUCAGGAUUCCGUAUUGGCAUCCCAAGAGCUGCUCGCCUCUCAUUUAGUGCUCUCUGCAAAGUCCGAUUUUCCACCGCCAUCACGUCCAGCAGAUCUUCAAGAGAGUCUAAACGAUCCUGCUGCCUAUCCAUCCGAGCUCUCAUUUAAGAGUUCUCUUCAUCCCGUCUCGAAGCGUAUGACAAAGUUGCCUUAGAAACUUCGUUAACAGAACCUAUGCCCACUCUCCGUCCCUUCUCUCUAGGAGCCACCUAUAAAAACAUAUUAAUAUAGUUAAAAUUUAUUAAAUAGUUAAAUUUAUUUAAAUAAAAUUAUAAAGUUUUACCUCUUCGAAGAUCCUGUCGACCUCUUCGGUCGUCAGUUUGACGGGUAAUCCAUCGGGAGAUUGCUGGGUUAAUUGUGUCUCCCGCUCUUCAACCUGAAGAAGCCAGGUGUUUUUUUUUUGAUCAAAAAGAAGCCAAGUGUUAUUAUAUUUCGUAACUAACUCGUGAAUGUUUUAAGCACAAAAAAGAAAAAAUCUAACUCCUGAAUGCAUCUGAAAUACAAAUUUGAAUCUCGUGAAUAGUUCACAUCAAUACAGUAUGAAUUAAUUAAUUUGUAUAAUGAAACAAACUAAUGUGAUGGCACUAGUCGACAGUGUAAAACUCUUGAAUCGAGACGAGUUUUUUUUGUCGUCAUAUAAGUAAAAAGUCUAAUUUAAUUAAUUAUUAAGAUUAAAACAUAUAUAUAUAUAUAUAUAUAUACAUAUAUAUCUUUAAAUUAAACUAUAUACCAUAUAAAAUACAUAAAUAUUUUAAUUUCUAAUUUACUUUGAACAAUUUUUUUGAUUAAAGCUUUGAACAAACAUUGACAUUUAAUUUUUUAAAAUUAUAAAUUACUAAAACUAUUAAUCCCACAAUAAAAAUUUUGUUAUCAUUAAUUUAAAGUAUUUUCUAUAAAAGAUACAAAUGAUUAAAAAAAUCAUAUGAGCAAAGCAUCAUUUAAUAGAUAUUAAUAUUAAAAAUAUAUUAUGUAUAUUAAUAUCAUUUAAUUUAAUUAUAUAUCCUAUCAAAUAAAAAACUAUUAUUUGGAUUAAUAAAAUUGAUUUAUUUGUUCACACUAAUUUAAUUAUAUAUGUAAUAGUUACUAACUUAUAAUUAUUUAAUAUAUAUUUAUUAUUUCAUAUUUAUAAUAUGUACGAACAUAUAAUACAUAAAAUAAUUUAUAUAUAUAAUGUUCAUUAUGCGCAAAGGAAGUUCUUAAUCUAGUCAAAUAUUAUUCUUUGUUAGUAAAAUUUAAUCGAAUAUAUCUUUGUUGUUAAAAAUCUAGUCGAAUAUUAUAUGUGUUUUUAAUGAUAGAACGGAGAAAAAUAUCGCUGGAUCUCUUCUCCCAUACACCAACGCCACCGCCCACCGGCCUUAUUUGCGUGUAUACUCUUUUUCUUCUUGUGAUAUGUUUUUAUAUAGGUAAUAUAUAAAAUACACUUUUACCAAAAAAAAAAAAUGCGCUAUGCAUAGCUAUGCAGUAUGAACGUCGUUAUUCGAAACAUCAUGCAAGAAGUCGUUGGCUAAUUAGUAAUUAGAACAUGGAGAGAUUCUCAUGAAAAACCUAAAGAAUACUUUAUCAAAUAUCUAUCUCAUUUAAUUAUUAGAAAGCUCAUUUAGAAGUAUUUUAGUUAACAUAUUUAAGUGGAUCUCAACAUUUUAAAUUUUCAUUCAGUACAAAAUAUAUAUAUUUUUGUCUUUCUUUAAUUCGUCGUCGUCUAACAAAAAUCUUUCACUACAUGGUGUACCAAAUUAUAUUAGGUGUUACUUCUAUAUUACAAAUUUGCCAUUUAAACCAAUAAUAAUUUGAAUCCAAAUUUUGGAGGUUUUUCUCCAAAAUUUGUUUUCUCGUUUUCUUCUAAUUGUGUCAAUUCGUUAGAUCAUACCUGUCUAUUAGUCUAUACACAAUUGUAUCAUGUCUUGUAUCUAUAUCGUGAUGCUGCUGUACCAAAGUAAUAUCGGGGAUUACGUUCAAAUUUUCAUAAUCUUCUUAAAAAUUUAAUUAAGCCAAAAGUUCAAUUUUUCCUAUAUCGCUUUCCUCACUUCAGUAUGUUGAUUUCAUUGACAUUAUAUUAUUGUACAGAAGACAUAUUCGUAGUUUGAAAAUAAAUAUCAUAUUAGGUUAUAUAUAUAAUUUGACUUCCACACAAAAUAAGGAAAUGAUUAAUGCAUAAUUUAUGAAAAAUGCUUAAUUUAAUCAUAAAUAUGCAUUUUCUCGUUGACUAGUACUGAUACACGUUGGUAUACAAUUGGUGUUUGGUCAAGUUAGUCAAAAAAUAUUUUUUUUUUUAAAAUAGACAGUAAAAAGAAAUGGAAAAACUAGAAGAAAAGUAAGCAAGAACCUUGCUUCCUUCCACCUCUUCUCCUUUCAUAUAUGUUAUCACCUUUUCCUUUUGCCUAAGCUUUUAAGAUUCGUUGCUAAUCGCUUAAUGACUCAAUUACCAUUACACGCUUUGUCCUCUUUCAUGUGAUUUCUCGUUCUGCAGUGGCAUGCCUACCGACAAUUUUAAGUCUUUUCAGGGGCUUAAUAGUAAUAUAUGCGAGAGAGAAAUCAGAAUAACUCUGUCUCGCGUUAUUCAAACCCUAGUUUGAAUUCACCUUAUAUGUCCAUUCUUUCCUGCGCUGCUUGCACAAAGGGCGAUUUGGUAAUCUCAUACCUCGUGAUCGUUCUGCAUACAACUUUGGGUUUUACUUUAUUAAUAAAAUGCAAGAGUGUGUGAAAAUAUGAAAAUCUCUCUCUGAUUUUCCUCUUUCUCAGUUUUCUUCAUCUUCUUUAUUUUCUUCUCUGCUUUCUGCUUUCUCGCGUCUCUGACCAGCUCCCGAGUUGUUCGUUUCUGGUUAAUGGAUAUUGAACCCUCUAGUGAUCUUGGGGGGUGGGUUAUUUCAUUUUCUAAAUUGCAUGGCAACAUCAAAUGACCAAACCAAUACUAUAUCAUCACAUUCUCAUACUCUUCUUCUUUUAAUCAUAUUCUUAUCUUUGAUUCUCUUCAUCAACCUUGCAAUCCCCAUGACUCAUCAUCGGUCCACAUCUAUGGUUGCUCCCUUCAAGAGGGUUCUUCUCGAACCUUCUGUUCCAGCUUCAUCAACAAUGGAUCUGCAUCCAAAGGGUCGCACACGUUGCAGCCAUACUUCUAGAAGGAGAGAGUUUGCAAAUGAUGCUCAUGAAGUUCCUAGUGGUCCAAACCCUAUUUCCAACUAGGUGAGUUGG
This 4790-nucleotide long non-coding RNA is filed under the name Brassica napus (rape). Its description in RNAcentral is "long non-coding RNA (BNAP_LNC018299)". Lineage: Eukaryota; Viridiplantae; Streptophyta; Magnoliopsida; Brassicales; Brassicaceae. The record is from RNAcentral.